RNAcentral lists this ribosomal RNA (434 nucleotides) under uncultured bacterium. Its description in RNAcentral is "bacterial SSU rRNA". It matches the Rfam family "Bacterial small subunit ribosomal RNA", at positions 958 to 1392 of the family's 1533-position model. The record is from RNAcentral.
AACGCGAAGAACCUUACCUACCCUUGACAUCCUCGGGAGCCGAAAGAGAUUUCGGUGUGCCUUCGGGAACCGAGAGACAGGUGCUGCAUGGCUGUCGUCAGCUCGUGUUGUGAAAUGUUGGGUUAAGUCCCGUAACGAGCGCAACCCUUGUCCCUAUUUGCCAGCGAUUCGGUCGGGAACUCUAGGGAGACUGCCGGUGACAAACCGGAGGAAGGUGGGGACGACGUCAAGUCAUCAUGGCCCUUACGGGUAGGGCUACACACGUGCUACAAUGGUCGGUACAAAGGGUUGCGAGUCCGCGAGGCCAAGCCAAUCCCGUAAAGCCGAUCUCAGUCCGGAUCGGAGUCUGCAACUCGACUCCGUGAAGUCGGAAUCGCUAGUAAUCGUGAAUCAGAAUGUCACGGUGAAUACGUUCCCGGGUCUUGUACACACCG